AGCGGCGGACGGGUGAGUAACGCGUGGGUAACCUGCCUCAUACAGGGGGAUAACAGUUGGAAACGGCUGCUAAUACCGCAUAAGCGCACAGUACCGCAUGGUACGGUGUGAAAAACUCCGGUGGUAUGAGAUGGACCCGCGUCUGAUUAGGUAGUUGGUGGGGUAACGGCCUACCAAGCCGACGAUCAGUAGCCGGCCUGAGAGGGCGACCGGCCACAUUGGGACUGAGACACGGCCCAA
This 240-nucleotide ribosomal RNA is filed under the name uncultured bacterium. RNAcentral describes it as "partial 16S ribosomal RNA". It matches the Rfam family "Bacterial small subunit ribosomal RNA", at positions 94 to 334 of the family's 1533-position model. The record is from RNAcentral.